GGCUUGCUGGUCUAGUGGUAUGAUUCUCGCUUCGAGUGCGGGAGUUCACGGGUUCGAUUCCCGUGCAAGCCC
RNAcentral lists this transfer RNA (72 nucleotides) under Dendronephthya gigantea. RNAcentral's name for it is "tRNA-Ser". It matches the Rfam family "tRNA". From Rfam's summary of the family: Transfer RNA (tRNA) molecules are approximately 80 nucleotides in length. Their secondary structure includes four short double-helical elements and three loops (D, anti-codon, and T loops). Lineage: Eukaryota; Metazoa; Cnidaria; Anthozoa; Malacalcyonacea; Nephtheidae. The record is from RNAcentral.